Molecule: long non-coding RNA, 4986 nt
Filed under: Salvia miltiorrhiza (redroot sage)
Lineage: Eukaryota; Viridiplantae; Streptophyta; Magnoliopsida; Lamiales; Lamiaceae
Description: long non-coding RNA (SMIL_LNC008218)
Source: RNAcentral
ACCAACACCUAAACUAGAAGGUUGAUAAUAGAUCGGAACCUGAAGGAAAUAGACGGACGAAUGCUUCUUUCACUCUUCAAUGGAACAGUUCUUUACAAACACCAAAACAUACAGGUAAAACUUGAGAGAAAAAGAUCGGUCCCUUCUACUAUUACAGACAUGCUAUUUAUAAGAGAUGAAGAUGAGAGGGUAAGAUCGUCUUUUCCUUCGGGGCACGUGCUCGGUACGUCCUUGGCGUCGUUGUCACUGGUGACUGUCCUUGUUCCAACGGCCUUGCAGCUUUUGCCUCUUUCAGAAAGUAGUUGGGAACCCUUUUCUAAGGAGCGCUGGUGCUGCGCUGUUCUUUCAGAGGUGGUGAUGGCUGCGCUGCUCCUCAAGGGUGAUGAUGGCUGCGCUGCUCCUCAAGGGUGAUGAUGGCUGCGCUGCUCCUCAAGGGUGAUGAUGGCUGCGCUGCUCCUCAAGGGUGAUGAUGGCUGCGCUGCUCCUCAAGGGUGAUGAUGGCUGCGCUGCUCUCUCGAAGGGGGUGCCGGGGUCUUCACUCUUUGUCCUGCACUGUUAGUUUUCCUAUUCUACGCAAUAAUCAUUAAGUCAGUUAGAUCUUUCAUAUUGGUAACGUAUGGGGUACGGGUCGUGUGCUGCGCUGAUGUAGGACCUUAUCCCUCAUCACCAAGGCUGCACGUAGGGCCGAAGCCGAUAAACUCCGCGUGAAGAAAGGUGACAACGGGAUGCAUCCCGGCGAAAAACACUCUCAGAGAAUACCAUAUAAGGGUCUGCCACCAAGAAUGCCAGCCAUGGCGGUCGAAACAAGGCCUCCCUCCCCGAGACCUGCGCAGCCAGAUCGGCGCAACAGAACUGGGGAUACACAUGAGCGUCACCCUUUGGACAGGCCUGCUGACGAGAUUUUCCAUCUUGUCAAAGAUGAAGUUUGGUUCCGAGCCCCAUGGAAUUACACCCGCGGUGAUCCCAAACCAGGGAAAAAUGACCAACUAUGCGAAUACCAUAACGCUUAUGGGCACACAACCGCAAAUUGCGGACACCUGAUGAAUCAGCUGGAGAUAUUGGUGAGACAAGGUCGACUAGACAGAUUCGUCACUGGACCCCCGAAGCAACCAACAAGACGGCACAACCCCGCCGAAGCAACCAUAGACGUCAAAGAGGGGACACAAGGAACGACCCAGACCACAGGCAGGAAAGAGAACUAAGGAAUGAGGCACCAGAACGACCACCUUUCCAGAGGGAAAUUCAUAUGAUCGUUGGAGAAAACGGUAUACCCACAUCAAACAGAGCGAAGAAACAACUUGUCAGGGCUGUGAGAACAGGACACUUUAACUCUAAGGUCAUGGCUAUCACCAGCGCAGCCAGCGAACCCACCAUAUCCUUUGGCCCGGAAGAUGCCAGACCGUUAAUGUACCCCAUGAUGACGCCUUAGUCUUUUCAACAGACGUGGCUGGAUGCCUGGUCCACCGAGUUUUCGUGGACUCAGGCAGCGCGGUCAUCUUUGUGUACCGUAACUCCUGUUAACUGUUGCCAGUUGAGAGUCAGUUUUAAUCACUGCGUUGUCGGCUCUGAGUUCUCUGAGUAUGUGGGCUGCCCUUAGCACUGCUUCAUAUUCGGCUUCGUUGUUGGAUAGUUUAUCUUCAAACUUGAUAGCGAAUUGGUAGAUUUCUCCUUCGGGCGAGGUGAUGUAGAUUCCCACCCCACACCCCUCUUUGGUGACCGACCCAUCAACCUGUGCUAUCCACGGUCCCCUCAUAGGCCACCUUGUUGCUUCUUGAAUGAAGUCCGCCAGUGCCUGCGCUCUAAUGGUAGUGCGCGGCUCAAACUCGACCUCGUACUCUCCGAGCUCUAUGGCCCAUUUCACCAUCUUCCCCGCUAGAUCCGGACGCCCUAAGAUUUGUUUGAAUGGUAUUAUUGUCCUCACAAUGACCUUGUGUGAUAAGAAGUAUGGCCUUAACUUUCUGGCCGUGAUCAUGAUCGUGUAUGCGGUCUUCUCGACUUCGGUGUAGCGCAGCUCCGCACCCUGGAUGACCUUGCUUACAAAGUAUAUGGGUUUUUGUUGUCGAUUCUCCUCCCGGACCAGCACUGAGCUCAGGGAUUCAACUCCCACGGAGAUGUACAAGUAUAAUGGUUCCCCCGGAGAGGGUUUUGUCAACACUGGUAGUUUGGUCAGGUAAGCUUUUAGGUCUUCGAAGGCUCUUUGGCACUCACUACUCCAUUCAAACCGACUUCCUUUUCGUAGAAUCUUGAAGAACGGGAGACUUCGCUCAGCUGAGCGUGAAAUGAACCGACUCAACGCGGUAAUUCGCCCGUUGAGUGUUUGGAUUUCUUUGACAUUCCUGGGUGAAGUCAUGUUCAGAAUAGCUUUAACUUUGUCAUUGUUAACUUCGAUCCCCUCCGGUGUUACUCUAUAACCCAAGAACUUUCCUGAUUGCACCCCGAAGGUGCACUUAUCAGGAUUGAGCAUGAGUCUAUUCUUGCGGACUACUGAGAAGGUUUCCUCCAGAUCGGCCACGUGGGAGCUGGCCUUAAUGCUGCGCACCAACAUGUCGUCGACAUAUACCGAGAUAUUUCUCCUCAGCUGUGUCCUGAAAAUUUUGUCCAUCAUACGCUGGUAUGUGGCCCCUGCAUUCUUGAGGCCGAAGGGCAUGCUUUCCCACCCGAAGACUCCUGUGCACACUGCGAAGGCGGUUUUGGCUACAUCAUCUGGAUGCAUCUUUACCUGAUGAUAUCCUUGGUAUGCGUCCAUCAUGGACAAGAGUUCACACCCUGAAGUAGCAUCCACCAGUUGAUCUAUUCGAGGGAGCGGGUAACAGUCCUUAGGGCAAGCUGCGUUGAGGUCUCUGUAGUCCACACACAUUCUCCACACCUUGACUUUCUUUUCUACCAUGACUGCAUUAGAUAUCCAUUCAGGAUAUUGGACUUCCACGAUAUGUCCUGCCUCUAGGAGGGCUUGGACCUGUUCCCGAAUAGCUGCAUCCUUCUCCGCGCCAAAGUGUCUUGUUUUCUGUCUGACUGGUUUAACCAUUGGGUCCACAUUAAGACGAUGUUCGGCUAGCUCUCUGUUUAUCCCUUUAAGAUCAGAAGUGUUGAAUGCGAAUACAUCCGCGUUCCUGCGCAGGCACGCGGUAACUUCCUUUUGGAGGGUUGGUGCCAUUCCCGCUCCAAUUCUGGUAGUGUAUCCUUCCCUCUCGGGAAAAAGUUCAAUGAGCAAGCAUGCAUCACUCGUGGAAACGAGUGGCUGUUUAUCAACUCCAUCUCUGAGUUCCAUGAUUUCUCUGCGUUCGGGGUUUGACGCGGUGACUAUCCCCAUCUUCCCCUUUCUCUGAUCAUUAGGUUCCCCCGGGACAUUUGCUUGCUUUCGUUUCUGCUUUCGGGUGUUGGGAUCGUCUCCAACACUAUCGUUCUGUUGAGUUAGUGUUUGCACAUGACAUUGCUUCGAUGUAGCUUGAUCCCCCCACACUUCCCCAAUUCUUCCACCGUCUAUUGGAAACUUCAUUUUGAGGUAGAACGUGGAAACUACUGCCUUGAAGGUGUUAAGCGCGGGCCGCCCAAGAUGAUGUUGUACGUAGGUUUCAGAGCAUCUAUGAUCAAGAAUCUGAUUGUCCUGGUUUUAUAACCCUGCGAUCGUCCCAAGGUAACUGGCAGUUCCACCAUUCCGAUUGGUACUACUGAUUCUCCUGAGAAUCCAUAGAGUGGUGCAUUCGUUGGUUCAACAUUGACAUCCGAGCCAAGGGCCUUCCAGCAGUUCCAGUACACAAUGUUCACCGCGCUGCCUGAGUCCACGAAAACUCGGUGGACCAGGCAUCCAGCCACGUCUGUUGAAAAGACUAAGGCGUCAUCAUGGGGGUACAUUAACGGUCUGGCAUCUUCCGGGCCAAAGGAUAUGGUGGGUUCGCUGGCUGCGCUGGUGAUAGCCAUGACCUUAGAGUUAAAGUGUCCUGUUCUCACAGCCCUGACAAGUUGUUUCUUCGCUCUGUUUGAUGUGGGUAUACCGUUUUCUCCAACGAUCAUAUGAAUUUCCCUCUGGAAAGGUGGUCGUUCUGGUGCCUCAUUCCUUAGUUCUCUUUCCUGCCUGUCGUCUGGGUCGUUCCUUCUCUCCCCCCCAUCACGCCUAUGGUUACCCCGGUCGCGGUUGUGCCGCUCUCCGUUCAUUGCUCUCGGGGGUCCAGUGACGAAUCUGUCUAGUCGACCUUGUCUCACCAAUAUCUCCAGCUGAUUCAUCAGGUGUCCGCAAUUUGCGGUUGUGUGCCCAUAAGCGUUAUGGUAUUCGCAUAGUUGGUCAUUUUUCCCUGGUUUGGGAUCACCGCGGGUGUAAUUCCAUGGGGCUCGGAACCAAACUUCAUCUUUGACAAGAUGGAAAAUCUCGUCAGCAGGCCUGUCCAAAGGGUGACGCUCAUGUGUAUCCCCAGUUCUGUUGCGCCGAUCUGGCUGCGCAGGUCUCGGGGAGGGAGGCCUUGUUUCGACCGCCAUGGCUGGCGUUCUUGGUGGCAGGCCCUUAUAUGGUAUUCUCUGAGAGUGUUUUUCGCCGAGGUGCAUCCCGUUGUCACCUUUCUUCACGCGGAGUUUAUCGGCUUCGGCCCUACGUGCAGCCUUGGUGAUGAGGGAUAAGGUCCUCAUCAGCGCAGCACACGACCCGUACCCCAUACGUUACCAAUAUGAAAGAUCUACUGACUUAAUGAUUAUUGCGUAGAAUAGGAAAACUAACAGUGCAGGACAAAGAGUGAAGACCCCGGCACCCCCUUCGAGAGAGUAGCGCAGCCAUCAUCACCCUUGAGGAGCAGCGCAGCCAUCAUCACCCUUGAGGAGCAGCGCAGCCAUCAUCACCCUUGAGGAGCAGCGCAGCCAUCAUCACCCUGGAGGAGCAGCGCAGCCAUCAUCACCCUUGAGGAGCAGCGCAGCCAUCACCACCUCUGAAAGAACAGCGCAGCACCAGCGCUCCUUAGAAAAGGGUUCCCAACUACUUUCUGAAGAGGCAAAAGCUGCAAG